CUGUUUCUCCCUCAUCUGGUCUAAAAAGACGUGAGAGAACUAUUCCCUAUAGAUGACGGCGUACCUUCUGACGAGAGUGGUGACGCGAUAUUUAUGAUCAUGACUAUAGUUUAAAUGUAAGACCACUGUGGUUGACAUGACUGUAAUCAUAGAUCGUGUCAUGAUUUGACAAAUUGUAAAUAUGGUGAUGGUUUAGGAAGUCGUAAAUUGCUGAUAUGAUAUGAAAUGAAUUGGCCAUUCCACAUAGAUAGUCGGGAAUCCGUAUUGCUCUUAGUAGAUAGAAGUCGGAAUGACUUUGCGUGAAAAAUAAAAUGAAAAUAAGAUGAAAACAUGACAUGGUUGGUUCAAUUUCUCUAUUUAAUUUUCAACAUGAUUGAUUGACAUGAUAUGAUUGAUAAGAUUUGAU
Molecule: long non-coding RNA, 406 nt
Filed under: Carica papaya (papaya)
Lineage: Eukaryota; Viridiplantae; Streptophyta; Magnoliopsida; Brassicales; Caricaceae
Description: long non-coding RNA (CPAP_LNC004131)
Source: RNAcentral